UAGGGAAUCUUCGGCAAUGGACGGAAAUCUGACCGAGCAACGCCGCGUGAGUGAAGAAGGUUUUCGGAUCGUAAAGCUCUGUUGUAAGAGAAGAACGAGUGUGAGAGUGGAAAGUUCACACUGUGACGGUAUCUUACCAGAAAGGGACGGCUAACUACGUGCCAGCAGCCGCGGUAAUACGUAGGUCCCGAGCGUUGUCCGGAUUUAUUGGGCGUAAAGCGAGCGCAGGCGGUUAGAUAAGUCUGAAGUUAAAGGCUGUGGCUUAACCAUAGUACGCUUUGGAAACUGUUUAACUUGAGUGCAAGAGGGGAGAGUGGAAUUCCAUGUGUAGCGGUGAAAUGCGUAGAUAUAUGGAGGAACACCGGUGGCGAAAGCGGCUCUCUGGCUUGUAACUGACGCUGAGGCUCGAAAGCGUGGGGAGCAAACAGGAUUAGAUACCCUGGUAGUCCACGCCGUAAACGAUGAGUGCUAGGUGUUAGACCCUUUCCGGGGUUUAGUGCCGCAGCUAACGCAUUAAGCACUCCGCCUGGGGAGUACGACCGCAAGGUUG
RNAcentral lists this ribosomal RNA (550 nucleotides) under uncultured bacterium. RNAcentral's name for it is "bacterial SSU rRNA". It matches the Rfam family "Bacterial small subunit ribosomal RNA", at positions 355 to 896 of the family's 1533-position model. The record is from RNAcentral.